Molecule: ribosomal RNA, 218 nt
Filed under: Triticum aestivum (bread wheat)
Lineage: Eukaryota; Viridiplantae; Streptophyta; Magnoliopsida; Poales; Poaceae
Description: partial small subunit ribosomal RNA
Source: RNAcentral
CUCUUGAGACUUCGUGGGAGGAGGUGGUUCCAUCUCUUGAAGACGGGGGAAGGUAGAGGGAGAGAGAAGGUAAAGUCCGUUGUGAUUGGGGAGAAACGGCACGUAUACGUCUAGAUCCCUCCUGUCCUCCUCACUAGACACCUCCGUUCCUUUCUCUCUGGCUACCUCAAACGACACCGCCGUAAAUCGAGCCAUCGACCGCAGCGGCACAGCUUCGA